CCUACGAGCGGCAGCAGUGGGGGAUAUUGCACAAUGGGGGGAACCCUGAUGCAGCGACGCCGCGUGGGUGAAGAAGCGCCUCGGCGCGUAAAGCCCUGUCAGCAGGGAAGAAAAUGACGGUACCUGAAGAAGAAGCCCCGGCUAACUACGUGCCAGCAGCCGCGGUACUACGUAGGGUGCCAGCGUUAUCCGGAUGUACUGGGUGUAAAGGGGGUGCAGUCGGCGAUGCAAGCCAGGAGUGAAAGCCCGGGGCCCAACCCCGAGACUGCUCUUGGAACUGCGUGGCGGGAGUGCAGGAGGGGCAGGCGGAAUUCCUGGUGUAGCGGUGAAAUGCGGAGAUAGCAGGAGGAACAACGGUGGCGAAGGCGACUAUCUGGCACAUAACUGACGCUGAGGAGCGAAAGCGUGGGUAGCAAACAGGAUUAGAUACCCGGGUAGUC
Molecule: ribosomal RNA, 440 nt
Filed under: uncultured bacterium
Lineage: Bacteria
Description: partial 16S ribosomal RNA
Rfam family: Bacterial small subunit ribosomal RNA
Source: RNAcentral